AAUGAAGUGUCUGAUUAUAGAGUUAUUUUGAUAGAGUAAAAAAAGUGAAAGCUUCACCUUCAUUAC
This 66-nucleotide transfer RNA is filed under the name Glycyphana fulvistemma. RNAcentral describes it as "tRNA-Ile". The record is from RNAcentral. Lineage: Eukaryota; Metazoa; Arthropoda; Insecta; Coleoptera; Scarabaeidae.